RNA transcript from Quercus robur (English oak), 4279 nucleotides. It is a transcript of the gene named NADPH-dependent diflavin oxidoreductase 1-like, with no coding region annotated. The transcript has 3 exons. The record is from RefSeq and is a predicted model, not a curated record. Lineage: Eukaryota; Viridiplantae; Streptophyta; Magnoliopsida; Fagales; Fagaceae.
GCCAACAUAUAAUUAUUUAUUUUUGUUUAAAUUUUGGUUUAAGUUUUUAGCAGUUUGGUUUUCUUGGAGAUGCGAGGGCUUAUUCAAGUGUUUCCAGACCUUGUGCAGAAAUUAUGGAAUUAUUGGGAGCUACGAGUGUUGGUUCUUGUGAGUCUCACCUUGCAACUGUCUCUUCUUCUCUUGGGCAGUUGGAGAAGAUAUAGUGUUAAAACUUGGAUAAGGAUCAUUAUCUGGUUUUCAUAUCUAGCUGCCGAUUCAGUGGCAACUAUUGCGCUAGGUGUCAUUUCCAAUAAUCAAGGAAAUUCUUGCGAUGGCAAUGAUUGCCAAUUACAAAAUGAGCUCAAAACAUUCUGGGCACCAUUUCUAUUGUUGCAUCUUGGUGGACAAGACACAGUUACAGCUUAUGCAGUACAAGAUAAUGAAUUAUGGUUAAGGCACUUGCUUGGACUAAUUGUUCAAUUAGGAGUGGCACUCUACGCCUUUUACUUGUCUUGGAAGGGGAAUUGGUUGUCAUUUCUUACUAUUCCAAUGCUUCUUGCUGGGUUUAUUAAGUAUGCCGAAAGGAUAUGGGUGAUGCAAUUAGCAAAUAACGCUCCAUUGCCUGAACGUAAGCUCUAUGUUCCAAGCCCAGAGCAACGUAGAUUACUUGCGGAAUUAGCAGAUGUAUACCUCUCAAAUCGUGAGAAUUAUCUACAACGUUAUGGAGAGAAUAUAGUUUGUCUUGAUGUGGACGAUAUUAGACCCAUACGAGCAGAAGCAGUUCGGCUGUUUGAAGUUUUUAGACGUCUUUUUCUAAAUCAGAGGGUCCCCUUUCUUCAUCGGUUUUCGGUUGAUGCUGUCUUAGCUUCUCUUGAUUCUCAAAACACUUGGAAGGUGAUUGAGGUUGAACUCGGAUAUGCCUAUGAUGUUUUCUACACAAAGGCUCCUUUGUUUUUUACAGCUUGGGGUUUCAUCUUCCGUUUCUUCUCUUUUACUUCCAUCCUUUUUGUGUCUGUGCUUUUCCUUUUAAAAGAAAGGUACAAGCACUUGUCACAGACAGAUUUGAUUAUUACUUACGUAUUGAUGGUUGGAGCUAUUCUUAUAGAGCUAUAUGCUGUCAUUUUACUGAGUGCCUCUGAUUGGCCUUGGCCACAUUUUAAAGGGUUAAGGAAGCUUCUUGAGAAACUCUUUGCUCCGAUAAUAAACCGUUAUGAUAAACUGAUGACUAACAAACAAAGGUGGUCUAAUUCAAUGGCUCAACUAAAUCUACUUAGCUUUUGCCUCAAAGAUUGUAAGCCUGAGGUUGACGAUGGAACCCCAAAACAUUUUGCUAGGUUGAGAGAGUGGGUCUUCAAUCAUAUUCUGCCAAAACUAAAUAGAGAACUACAGAUGCUCUUUUAUAGGACCCAUAAGCAAAUCUCUGUAGACUUGAAAGAUUUGGUGUACAACACUUUCAGGGAAAAAUUAAGUUCCAAUAGAGAAGGGUUUUCCGAAGAUUAUGACCAAUACAUAACAUAUAAUGGAUCUAUAAAUGUGGAAAUUUACCAAAGAAUUAUCAUCUGGCACAUUGCCACAGAUCUUUGCUUUUACACACACACUGGUGCAAACAAAUCUAUAAAUAAUUUUUGUCGAGAAGUGAGCAAGGAUAUAUCGGAUUAUAUGAUGUAUAUUCUUGUGAUGUGCCCUUUCGUUUUAUCAACAGGAAAUGCGAUACUUAGUUUUGAAAACACUUGUGAAUGGGUUAAGAAAUUUUUUCAAGAGAAAAAGCUCACCAAACUGCCUAAACUCGACGCUUGUGCAAUGUUGAUCUCAGAAUAUGAACCUUCAAGCGAUAAGGUAGACAAUUAUUUGUUGACAGAAGAUCUGUUAUCUUUAGCAGUUUUACUUGCAAACAAGCUAAAUCCAAUGGAUGGAAAGUGGGAGAUCUUGAGUAAGUUUUGGGUCGAGAACCUGGCUUAUGUUGCAACCCUUUGUCAAGGAAAUAAUCAUGCUCAGCAACUGAGAAAGGGUGGGGAGUUUUUUACCCACGUCUGGCUUUUGUUAGAGCAAUUGAACCUCACAGAAAGUUUUCAAAAGUCACGAACAAGACCCUAAGAGGAACAACACAUGGAUAGGGAUAGGGGACUCGAGAUUUAUGUUUUGUGGAGAUUUAUGUUUUGUGGAGUGAAGUUUUUUUUAUAUUUGGGAUCCAAUGGGUGAUGUCGAAGGCAAUAGCCUCCCUGCUUUUUGGUUGGUGGAAUUGGCUGAGGAAGCAUUCCUCUGAUAUUUGGAAUAUAGUUCCAACUUGUCUUAUGUGGCUAAUUUGGCGGAAACGUAAUAAUCGUACUUUUGAAGAUAUUGUGAGAUCUGUAGAUCUUUUGAAGCCUAUAUUAGUUGGGACUUUAUUUAUUUUUAUUUUUUAAAGAAAGAGUUGGGACUUUAUUUUAGUGGGGUAGAAUUUGGAGUUUUACACAAUGUAUUUCUAUUUCUGAUUUUCUCCUUUCUGUUUGUAUUUCUUCUUGAGUUACUUGUAUCUGUUUUAAGUUCAGAGUGUUCACGUUCUCUUUAUGUAAUAAAUCUUUGAUUACUUAUAAAAAAAAAAAAAAAAGGCUGGGGAGAUGGUUGAUCAUCUAUUGCUAUAUUGUGAGUGCGCUAGUGAGUUCUGGUCCCUUCUGUUUUGUUUAUUCGGGGUGCAGUGGGUUAUGCUGCACAGAGUCCUUUGGUGUUUGGCGACGUGCUGGAAGGGGAGAUAUGCUAGACAGUGCUGUCUGGAUUGCAGCACCUUUGUUCCCUAUGUGGAUUCUCCGGAGGGAGUGUAAUCCUACAGCAUUUGAAGGCUUCGAGAGGACUGCAACGAAGUUGAGUAUGAUUCUUUACGUGUUUUGUUUGAUAGGACGGCUGCUUUACCCAGCCAUUCUUAUUCUACUUUGUUAGAUUUGAUUGAUAGUUGUACCUUUUCUUGAUGCUGUUGCUCUCUAAGCACACUUUUGGUGUACUGGAAAUUGCUUUUUUCUUCUAAUAAAAUUUUGUCACUUAAAAAAAAUGAUUCUUCCAUUGUCAAACAGCAAAAAAGCACAAAUUACAUCCAAAGAAUGAUCCUCAUUAAGGGGAAUGAAAUGUUAACAGAAAUCCUAUAGAAUUAAAGACUCUCUAUAGCUCAGGGAUCUACUCCCUGUUGUCUGAAUAUUGAAGUCUAGAAAGGCUAGAAAUCAUUUCCAGCCAAAUAUGAAAACCAUGAGAUCAUUGAGGACCCAACCUUAAGCAUCUUACCUUAAUGGAGAAGCCUCAUUCAGUUUUAUAUUAUGCAUUGACAUCUGGUUGUUCAACUUGUUAGUAAACGUGUCUAAUUUUCAAUCCUUGUUUGCAUAUUGCUUCAAAGUAUAAUCACAAACCUAGCUUUCCUUUCUUCUUUUCAGAUUGAGCUGACAUUGUAGCCCUCUUGGUUGGCCUUAGAGAGAGUAAGUGGAUGGAGAUGACAUGCAUUGUAUUGAGGGUUAUAAGGUAGUCAUCUCGUGGGGGAGUAUUGAGUAAGGAUUUGCAGUAUUACACCUUGUGCAUUAUGUUUUGACAUUUUUGGUGGGGUUCCGAAGGAGAUUUCUCAGGGUUUUUUUCCUUUCCUUUUUCCUAAAAGGAGAAUCAUUUCUGUCUUCUCUGAAUUCUUAGUGCUGACUGUUACAAGUGAUCUGUAUAAUUUUCUACUACUAAGUAAUGAAAACCCGUGCCUUCUGUAAAUAAAAUCAUCAUAGUACUUCCUAUGAUGUCUUGAAUGCAUUUCUUAUUAGCAUGUUACUUGUUUAUUGUCUCAGAUUUCCUUACCUCAUGAAGACACUAUAAUUUUUGUUGUUUCUACCAUAGGCCAGGGAGAUACACCAGAUUCCAUGAAGGUCUUUUGGAAGUUUCUUCUGCAAAGAAAUUUAAGCAAGCAUUGGCUGGAAGGUGUUCGCUAUGCUGUGUUUGGUUUGGGUGAUUCUGGUUGUCAGAAAUAUAAUUUUGUUUCUAAGAAGCUUGACAAAAGACUUUCAGACCUUGGGGCAAUGGCUAUUGUUGAAAAAGGUUUGGGAGAUGACCAGCAUCCCUCAGGGUAUGUUUAUGCCGGAAUAUCCUAAUGAACAUAAUUUUGCUUGAACUUACAGAAUGAUAAUAACCCUCAUUGAAUUCUUACUGGAUGAUAGUCGGCAACCAACCCCUAUCAUGGAAUUCUUCUUUCUUUCUUUUUUUGGUUUAGAUGUAGCAAAAUUAAUUGAGACCAGCUAAAGGUUGCUUAUGAGGUAUAACCAAUAUAUGAUGUGAUCAUUGGACAUGUCCACUCCUGUGGACAACA